RNAcentral lists this non-coding RNA (148 nucleotides) under Nomascus leucogenys (northern white-cheeked gibbon). The record is from Rfam by way of RNAcentral. Lineage: Eukaryota; Metazoa; Chordata; Mammalia; Primates; Hylobatidae.
GCCGGGCAUGGUGGCAUGUGCCUGCAGUCCCAGCUACUUAGGAGGCUGAGGCAGGAGGAUGGCUUGAACCCAGGAGAUGGAGGCUGCAGUGAGCCAUGAUUGUACCACUGCACUUCAGCCUGGGUGACAGAGCCAGACCCUGCCUCAA